This 888-nucleotide unclassified non-coding RNA is filed under the name Hevea brasiliensis (rubber tree). Lineage: Eukaryota; Viridiplantae; Streptophyta; Magnoliopsida; Malpighiales; Euphorbiaceae. The record is from RNAcentral.
CUUCUCAACACAUGGCUGCUGUCGUCUCCUCAGCAUUUUACUCUUUAUGGAAUCUCCUCUCAGGUUUUCUUAUCCCAAUGCCUAAAAUCCCAGGAUGGUGGAUCUGGUUCUAUUACAUCUGCCCCGUUGCAUGGACUUUGCGGGGCAUUAUCAUUUCUCAGCUUGGUGAUGUGGAGAGCACAAUUGUAGGACCAGGUUUUGAAGGCUCUGUCAAAGAGUUUUUGAAAGUUAAUUUUGGCUUUGAAUCUGAUAUGCUUGGAGUUUCAGUGGUGGUGCUUGUUGGCUUCUGNNNNNGCUAUCUUUGCAUUCUCUGUGAAAUUCCUUAACUUCCAGAGAAGAUGAGCAGUGGAUUCAUUUAUUGAAACAGGGGGUCCUGCCUGCAGGGGACAAUUUUUUACCCUAGAAUAAUGGUUUUGAGGCCUUUGAUGUUGGUUGAGUUACGGGUUCAGUUGACUUGAGGGGUCUGCAAUUGUCCUGAAACACAUUUUGGCAAGGUUAUGGUGGCAUUGGAUAUGAGACUUGUAAUGGUGUGGUCACUGUGCAAGCAGUUGCUUUCAGGCAAGUUUAAAAUUGCAUUUGGGAUAUCAAAGCUUGAAACGCUUGUAGGGAGGGAAAUUUAGCUUGGGACAGCUGCCUUGCAUUAGGCUAUGGCUGAUAUUGUGGUAGAGCUGCUGCAAAAGUGAUGAGGGAGAGGAGCCUGUUGGCCAAGGACAUGUAGGCAACUGUAUCUUUUAACAAUUUUCAGCGACUUUUUUAAUGGAUUAGCUUGUUUGUACUUUAUAGGAUCACAAGGAAUGUUGACUCGGUGUUCAUAGUUACAGCAUACUUAAAGUUGAAUUUGAAAGCUGCCAAGCUUUCUGAUAUUGAUAUGUUAUUAUUUGCUUCCCA